UGGAGUUGCCAAUGAUGGGUCACGCCAGCAUGUCUGAACCUGGCUGAUAUCUUCUGAUGCCCUUUAUGGCUCUGAGGCUUCUACCGCA
Molecule: small nucleolar RNA, 88 nt
Organism: Alligator mississippiensis (American alligator)
Lineage: Eukaryota; Metazoa; Chordata; Crocodylia; Alligatoridae
Rfam family: Small nucleolar RNA SNORD91 family
About the family: The members of this family belong to the C/D class of snoRNAs which contain the C (UGAUGA) and D (CUGA) box motifs. Most of the members of the box C/D family function in directing site-specific 2'-O-methylation of substrate RNAs. Both snoRNAs and are predicted to guide 2'O-ribose methylation of the large 28S rRNA at position G4588.
Source: Rfam